GAGGUCUUAGCUUAAUUAAAGCAGUUGAGUUGCAAUCAAUUGAUGCAGGAUAGAGUCCUGUAGGCCUUA
RNAcentral lists this transfer RNA (69 nucleotides) under Podocnemis expansa. Its description in RNAcentral is "tRNA-Ala". It matches the Rfam family "tRNA". From Rfam's summary of the family: Transfer RNA (tRNA) molecules are approximately 80 nucleotides in length. Their secondary structure includes four short double-helical elements and three loops (D, anti-codon, and T loops). Further hydrogen bonds mediate the characteristic L-shaped molecular structure. tRNAs have two regions of fundamental functional importance: the anti-codon, which is responsible for specific mRNA codon recognition, and the 3' end, to which the tRNAs corresponding amino acid is attached (by aminoacyl-tRNA synthetases). tRNAs cope with the degeneracy of the genetic code in two manners: having more than one tRNA (with a specific anti-codon) for a particular amino acid; and 'wobble' base-pairing, i.e. permitting non-standard base-pairing at the 3rd anti-codon position. Lineage: Eukaryota; Metazoa; Chordata; Testudines; Podocnemididae. The record is from RNAcentral.